GUGCUCAUUUUGGUAGCACAUACACAAAAACUGGAACAAUACAAAGAUUAACAUGGCCCCUGUGCAAGGAUGACACAAAAAUUUGUGAAGCAGUCCAUAUUUGG
Molecule: small nuclear RNA, 104 nt
Filed under: Neotoma lepida (desert woodrat)
Lineage: Eukaryota; Metazoa; Chordata; Mammalia; Rodentia; Cricetidae
Source: RNAcentral